This 128-nucleotide small RNA is filed under the name Chelonoidis abingdonii (Abingdon island giant tortoise). Its description in RNAcentral is "TUC338 (ENSCABG00000007958.1)". Lineage: Eukaryota; Metazoa; Chordata; Testudines; Testudinidae. The record is from RNAcentral.
AGUCUCCUGUUUAUCCAAGGAAGAGGUACAGCAUGGGCAACUGCAGUGCAAGCUCCCAUGCCCUGACCUGCCAAUGUGUCUCAAACACUUUUCUAGAGGGGCCUCUGCUAUUGCGAGAGAGCAGUGGU